AUGAAAAGACGUGAUAGCAGAAUUAGUGAAGCUGAUUGGAAGACCCUUAUUACUUAUUGGAGAUCUUCGACAUUUGAAUCUCGUAGUGCUAUCGCCAAAAAGAAUCGUGCCAAUGCAGUGCCUCAUACAUCUGGCAGCAAGAGUCAUGCCCGUGUUGCCAAUGAAAUGGCUGUCAAACUUGGGCUUGAUCCUCGAAGAGAUGAAGUUUAUAUCGAAAUGCAUACAUGCAAGAAAGGGGAAAGGAAAGGGAGUUAUGUGCCGCAGGCAGCAGCAACAAUUAAAGAACUCAUAGAGAAAGGUGAACAGCACCCCGAAUGGAAGGAAAAAAACAUUAAAGAAGGUGAUCUGUUUGCACGUGUAUGUGGAAUGAAGGAGCCCAGGGGUCGUGUUCGUGUGUUAGGUCUAGGGCCAACACCUCAAGAUUUGGGCACACCGGGUACAUGGGGUAAAUUGAGCACAAGAGUUCUAGUUGAAAUGGAAGGGCGUCGAGAAGCUGGAAAUCGCUUUAACAUGCUGGAGGGGCAUGUGCUAGAAAUGCAGGAACGGAUGAACCGAAUGGAAUUGAUGUUAGCUUCACAAGGAGGGCAUAAUCUGAAAACUCCUAGCUCGCAGCACGGUUCCAAUUCUCGACAAAACUCAAGAGUUGAAGCUGAGGAUAAUAACGAUGGUGAAGAAGAUGAUGAACGGGAUGAUGAAGAGCCCUUUGUUCAUAGAAGAGUUGUUGCAAAGCCCCCUUCAAGAAGCUCAUCAGCCUAUGAAGAUGAAAGCCUUACACUAUUGUGGGCGGAGAGCCCCUUGGACCAGGAACUUAUGUGGUUCUUGUCAAUGUUGCGAUCAGAAGGGAUGCUACUUUGUCUUUUGAAUAUGAAGGUUUACAAAUUAUCGCUGAUGUUGUCACAAGGUCCAUCGCAUGGCCAUCUAGCAAGAUGA
Molecule: ribosomal RNA, 930 nt
Filed under: Triticum aestivum (bread wheat)
Lineage: Eukaryota; Viridiplantae; Streptophyta; Magnoliopsida; Poales; Poaceae
Description: partial small subunit ribosomal RNA
Source: RNAcentral